AGUGAACGCUGGCGGUAGGCCUAACACAUGCAAGUCGAACGGCAGCACAGUAAGCGCUUGCUCUUACGGGUGGCGAGUGGCGGACGGGUGAUGAAUACAUCGGAAUCUACUUGUUCGUGGGGGAUAACGUAUGGAAACUUACGCUAAUACCGCAUACGACCUACGGGUGAAAGCAGGGGAACUUCGGAUGUUGCGCGAGUGAAUGAGCCGAUGGCGGAUUAGCUCGUUGGCGGUGCAAAGGCCCACCAAGGCGACGCUGCGUAGCUGGUAUGAGAGGAUGAACAGCCACACUGGAACUGGGACACGGUCCAGACUCCUAAGGGCGGCAGCAGUGGGGAAUAUUGGACAAUGCGGGAAAGCCGGCCCGAGCCAUACCGCGUGAGUGCAGAAGGCCAUCGAGUUGUAAAGGCGUUGUGUCGGGAUAGAAAAGCAGGAGGUUAAUACACCGCUGUUCUGACGGUACCCAAAGAAUAAGCCCCGGCUAACUUCGUG
This 492-nucleotide ribosomal RNA is filed under the name uncultured bacterium. RNAcentral's name for it is "partial 16S ribosomal RNA". It matches the Rfam family "Bacterial small subunit ribosomal RNA", at positions 29 to 507 of the family's 1533-position model. The record is from RNAcentral.